ACCAGGCCAGUCCUUCUCACUUUAUUGCACUCGAGCACACCCAUUUGCCAAGGCGGCCAUGUAUGUACACCAUUAUUUUACAAUGAUCUGACGACAGCACCAGGGCACCGGGGCACACCCCUGCUCCCAGCCCAGCACCUUCCCUCCUCUGCCAGGCUGCAGCGAGUCACCGUUUUGGGUGCCACCACCCUCCCCAUGCUUAGGUGUGGCAGCGCUGUCACCCAGCACGCCUCUCCAGAGCCCUAGGGAAGGUGAUGGGAUGAGACAAAGGAGGCUUGUCCUGCUGUGGGGGGCUUUACUUUCGCAGCAGGGGCACCGCUGCCCACCCGUCGAUGCCUCCCACCACAGCCACAGCACGCGAACCUGGGGCUCAGAGCUGGCCUCUGUGUGGCACCAGGGCAGCAGGGACAGGGGCAGAUGUUGCCACUGGGGUAACUGCGCCAAGCGGGGGUGACACUAACCACAUGUGGCCAGCAAUGCCCCGCUCCUGGGCGCCCCAUCUGAGGUAGAGCAUCCUUACCUGUAGCAGCACCACUGCCCUCAGCAUCCACCUGGCCAUGGAGGCCAGGAGAGGGGUGCAGCUCCCACCCUGUGCGGCUGCUGGCACCAACACCAGCACCCUGCCACAGGGCUGGCCCACACCCCAGAGCCCCAAGCAAUAGCAGCAGGCAAGCACAAGUGCUGCAGCUCACCGCUAAACCCUGCUGCAGCAAAACAAUUUAAAUCAGCAUGCAAAGGACCAGUCGGGCUCUGGUUUGGUUCACACCCCUGACACCGAGCACUGUCUGGGCUUUACAGAGGACAUGAAGAGGGAGAGGAGUGGUGACACGUGCUGGGGGAAGGGAGGGAGCAGAAGGAGCUGGGAGCCAGGAGGAGAGCCCACACUCCUGGUCAGCUCAGGGGAGCACUGCCAGGAAUGGGGCACAGCAUUGGCAAAGCCCGAGGGAGCUGGUCUGACGGCCAACGUCUUGAAUGCACCAGUUCAAGCAAGCCAAAUGGAACAAGGCAGGAGUGGAAGGAGUGGAAAGCAAGUCCUGGCGCAGGGGCGUGCACGGCCCCACGCAUCUUCUGCAGAGAGGGAGGGGAAGCAGCUUUCCUUCAGCCCCUGGUACCUGCCAACACAGCCACACUCAGCCUCGCCUCGUGCUCGGAGAUGUCCCACCUGAUGGCACUUACUAUCAUGCCCCACGCCACCCCACAUCUGGAGAGUCACUCACCCUUUGAGGUUGGUAGCUAUCCGCACGUUGGUCAUCUUCCAGCCCACGCCUGCAAGGAAAGGGAGGACAACCAGCCCCUGCCCAGGCAAGGAUGGGCACCGGAGCCAAGGGCAGCUCAUCACCCUUUAAGCAGGGCUCCAAGGCACAUAGGGAAACAGUCAGGAGGGCAAGGCUGGGGGUAGUUCUCCUCCUUUUGCAAGCCCACAAAUGGUGAAGGGCCACGGGAAUUGUGUGGGAAUACCCCUUUACCUUCCAUGUCAGUCACAAGGAUGUUUCCAUUCGUCCACUGGUAUACCCAGUGCUGGAAGGCACAGCAUUUGAGCACAAUCUCCGAGGUGCCUCGUGCCACCAAGCUGCCAUCUCUCUCGGUGACACAGUACUGCUCACAGGGCCCACCCAGGUCCUCCUCCAUCGUGGCGUAAGGGAUGUUGUUGGCCGGUCGGUAAAUCAGGUACAGAGGAAUUAUCCUGUGUGGUAACACACAGCUCAGCAAAUGGAGAUCCACACAUCAGUCUCUGGCUUUUGCCUUCCCCCCAAAUCUCUCCUGUUUGAGGGUAGGAGAAGAAGUUGCUGCCCUCUGGUAUGUCCCCAGUGCCCCAUGGAGAACCCUCCCACCGUCUCCCAAGGAGCUCUGCCCCACCGUCAAGCCCAAGGGGCUGCAGCACCCUACUUACUCAGGCACUGCUCCAAAAUCAGGGACGGCUCGUGCCUCAGCAGCAAAGAUCUUGCAGUACUCACGGCUAGAGUUCUGGAUUUUACAUUCCUGGAGAUUCAAGCAGGAGAGUCAGGGCACUGUCCCUCCUUGUGCCAACCAGCCUGCAACAA
RNAcentral lists this long non-coding RNA (2042 nucleotides) under Anas platyrhynchos (mallard). RNAcentral describes it as "lncRNA (ENSAPLG00020011266.1)". The record is from RNAcentral. Lineage: Eukaryota; Metazoa; Chordata; Aves; Anseriformes; Anatidae.